Molecule: ribosomal RNA, 468 nt
Filed under: uncultured bacterium
Lineage: Bacteria
Description: partial 16S ribosomal RNA
Rfam family: Bacterial small subunit ribosomal RNA
Source: RNAcentral
GACGAACGCUGGCGGCGUGCUUAACACAUGCAAGUCGAACGGAAAGGCCCUGCUUUUGUGGGGUGCUCGAGUGGCGAACGGGGGAGUAACACGUGAGUAACCUGCCCUUGACUUUGGGAUAACUUCAGGAAACUGGGGCUAAUACCGGAUAGGAGCUCCUGCUGCAUGGUGGGGGUUGGAAAGUUUCGGCGGUUGGGGAUGGACUCGCGGCUUAUCAGCUUGUUGGUGGGGUAGUGGCUUACCAAGGCUUUGAAGGGUAGCCGGCCUGAGAGGGUGACCGGCCACAUUGGGACUGAGAUACGGCCCAGACUCCUACGGGAGGCAGCAGUGGGGAAUAUUGCACAAUGGGCGGAAGCCUGAUGCAGCAACGCCGCGUGCGGGAUGACGGCCUUCGGGUUGUAAACCGCUUUCGCCUGUGACGAAGCGUGAGUGACGGUAAUGGGUAAAGAAGCACCGGCUAACUACGUG